This 500-nucleotide ribosomal RNA is filed under the name uncultured Glomeromycotina. RNAcentral's name for it is "partial small subunit ribosomal RNA". It matches the Rfam family "Eukaryotic small subunit ribosomal RNA", at positions 591 to 1092 of the family's 1831-position model. Lineage: Eukaryota; Fungi; Glomeromycota. The record is from RNAcentral.
CCAAUAGCGUAUAUUAAAGUUGUUGCAGUUAAAAAGCUCGUAGUUGAAUUUUAGGCCUGGCCGGGCGGUCCGUCUUUGGCGAGUACUGUCCUGUGUCGGGUCCACCUUCUGGUGAACCAGUAUGUCCUUUAUUGGGUGUGCCGGGGAGCCAGGACCAUUACCUUGAAAAAAUUAGAGUGUUUAAAGCGGGCAUUUGCUUGAAUAGAUUAGCAUGGAAUAAUAGAAUAGGACGUUGUGGUUCUAUUUUGUUGGUUUCUAGGACCACCGUAAUGAUUAAUAGGGAUAGUUGGGGGCAUUAGUAUUCAAUUGUCAGAGGUGAAAUUCUUGGAUUUAUUGAAGACUAACUACUGCGAAAGCAUUUGCCAAGGAUGUUUUCAUUAAUCAAGAACGAAAGUUAGGGGAUCGAAGACGAUCAGAUACCGUCGUAGUCUUAACCAUAAACUAUGCCGACUAGGGAUUGGACGAUGUUAAUUUUUUAAUGACUCGUUCAGCACCUUACG